UGAAUUCUCAUCAGCUAAAACACCAUGGAAGGGCUUUUUCAAGCUGGUUCUUCAUAUUUUUAUUACAAGUAAGUUCAAUUCUUGACUAUUUCUUGAAAUUUUUGUAUUUUUAUGACUUUUACAACUAGGCCCACUUGUUAAAUUCAUUAGUUUUUGAUUUUAUGAAAGAAGUUGAAAGUUGAUAUGAAUAUGUGCUGGAAGUAUAUGAUGAUUUAGCAUGAAAUUAGAGCUUUAAAUUGUUCAUAUGCUGAUUUUAUUGAAAGAAUUGAAUAGAAAGUGAAUGUUUGGGACCUAAUAGUAAAAGAGUUUGAAGAUUGAGUUAUAUGUGGAAAUUCUGAAUUUCAAUAGUUUUGUAACAACUUAUAAUGUCUAGUAAAGUACUAAUUGAGAAAAUUAGAUUAAUUGAGGGGUUAAUUGAGAAAGGACCGAAUUGUAUAAACUGUGAAAUUUGGGGCAAAAUGGAAAUCAACAUUUUGCACUAAAGCAGUUUUGGACAGCAGCAGUAGUGUAACUUUGAAAAAUCACCAAAAAUUUUAGAGAUUGAAUUAGAGGAUGAAUAAAAUAUGAAACUAAAUCUUAUUGAGUCUAGUUUCUUAUAAAAGAAAUGAUGUGAGCAAUGGAAUUGUAAAUCAUGAGAUAUAAUAGAUUUUGUGAGACAAGGUCAGAAUGAAUUCGGGUUCCCCUGUUCUGACUUUGGAAAAUCAUUAAAAAUUGUACAAAAAUGAUUAUGAGUUAUAGUUUAUAUGGUUAGAAUCCUUAAUGAGUCUAUUUUUAGAAGAAACAAGCUAAAACAUCAUCCGAAUUCUGUACAAUGAGAUAAUUAAUUUUUAGUGAAGAGUGGUCGGAACUGUCAGACAGCGAAACAGGGGAAACUUUAAAGAAUAAACUGUACUAUUUGGCUGAACCAAAAAUUCUGAAAAUUUUAUGGUAUGAAGAUAUGUGAGUCUAGUUUCAGGGAAAAUUAACGGAUCUUAAUUUGGAGCUCUGUAGCUCCGGAUAAAAAUAAUUUAGUGACUCUGACUCGGAUAAACAGCUUUGAAUAUACAUGUUAGUGAAUAUUGAAAUUAUGGUUAAUGUUGUUUAAGUGUGUUAUACACAUUAAGGAUGUGGAAUGGAGAGGAGGAGGAGGAAAAUUGGGAAAUAUAUGAAUGAUUCGUGUAUAAAUGGUCAUAUGUUUGAUUAUAACUCAUAAACGAUGAAAUAUGAAUGAUGCUUAUUUUUGUGCAUUAUUGGUCAUGGUUUAAGCUCAUGUGUGAAAAUAAAGUUUCAUAGUAUGUGUGUAUGGUAUAUUCAGUAUAUGAUUUGGCAUGAAAUAAUACCAUGAAUGGUUUAUGAAUUAACACAUGUUGGUAAGCCUGAUAUAUGAAUAAAUGAUCAAAUUGAGCGGAACGCCGGAUUUGAGUACUUCUGAUCAAGUGACAAAGUGAUAAGUGGUAGCUUUAGCUACAUUUAUCUGAUCAAGUGACAAGUGGAAAGUGAUAAGUAAUAGCUUCGGCUAUACUUAUCUGAUCAAGUGACAAAGUGAUAAGUGAUAGCUUCGGCUAUAUUUAUCUGAUCAAGUGACAAAGUGAUAAGUGAUAGCUUCGGCUAUACUUAUCUGAUCAAGUGACAAAGUGAUAAGUGAUAGCUUCAGCUACACUUAUCUGAUCAAGUGACAAGUGGAAAGUGAUAAGUGAUAGCUUCGGCUAUACUUAUCUGAUCAAGAGACAAAGUGAUAAGUGAUAGCUUUAGUUACACUUAUCUGAUCAAGAGACAAAGUGAUAAGUGGCUACACUUAUCUGAUCAAGAAACAAAGUGAUAAGUGGCUACACUUAUCUGAUCAGGGAUAAGUGAUAAGUGAUCAUACGUAAGACCAUAGUUAUACUAUGGCAAAGUGAAAGUGAAGUACUCAAUUUUCCGUGGCCGUUCCCUAAUUUGAUUUAGGAUGGUAAGUGACAAAUGGGCCCAAAAGAAUUAAAGUAAAUGGAUAAGUGGUAGUGUAUUUAUAUGAGAACGAUGUUGUUAUUCAAACUAAAGUGAUAUUUUCAUUGCUAAAUUGAGAAUUUCAUAAAUGUGUUAUUGAAUGGUAUAAUCAAUAAACAUUGAGUUAAAUGGUAAAUACGUAUUAGUUUUGAAUUUGAUGUCAUUGAAUUGUACGUGAAUUAAAUGGAAAUUGCUAGUGAUAUGAUUUAAAUUAUGAGCAUGAGAAAUUGCAAAUUGAAUGAAAUGGAAAUGAAGCAUUAAAUUGCAUGAGUAUGUAUCGGGUCUCGCAGGCCCUAAUUAUUAUGAUUAUAAUAUUUUGAGGAUAUAUUGUGAAAAGUUAUAGAAACAUGUUAAUUAUUUUGAAAGUUUUAAUUUUGAUGAAAUUUUAUAACUCGGUUAAAUACGUUUACAAGUGUAUGUGUUUUGGUAAUGCCUCGUACCCUAUUCCGGUGUUGGAUACGGGUAAGGGGUGUUACAAAUUGUGUAUCCGGAAGGGGUGUUGGAGGAUAUCCUCAUCAAGGUAAUUAAACUAUUUUUUCUACAGAUUUUUACAUCAUCGAAAUGGAGGAUGACAACUCAAAAAAUUCCUCGAAUAUUUUACUCGGAAGACCAUUUUUAAGCACUGCACAUACAAAAAUUGAUGUUCAAGGUGGAACUCUAACUAUGGAAUUUGAUGGUGAAGUGGUCAAAUUCAAUAUUUACAAGGAUAUGGAUCAUCCCAAUGCAAUAACAAAUGUCUCUAGUGUUGAUGGAAUUGAACCAUUAAAAAACUUACACUUUGAAAAGGAUAAAUUACAAACUAUGCUUUGUAGGAGUGUAGAUCUCGAUGUUAUGGAAAAACAAGAAGAAUUAUCAUGAACAAAGAACCAAAAUGUGAAGCUGUCAUUUGAAUAGAGGCCCCAAAAUUAGAGCUCAAACCGUUAUCAGAACAUUUAAAGAUUCCGAUAGAGGAAAAGGCAAACCUGAACGGAGAAGCUCAAAGAAGCUUCAAUCCAUCGAUGAUGGAGGAAUCCAAGAAGUGCUUCAAGGAAAAUGGGAAAAGGUUGAAACCUUUCUACGAGAACUUCUAAGUGCACGCAAUGGAAGAAUUAAAUCUCAAGAAGCCAAACAGAUAACAUUUCAGGUCGUCGAUCUAACGACAUUAAACAAAAACGUUUUUUGGAAGGCAACCCAUAUUUAUUUUAAUUUAUUUGAUUUUGAAUUUAAUUUAAUUUAUGUUGAAAAUAAAAAAUAAUAAGAUUAUUAUUUAAUCUAUUUUAAUGUGUUGUUUUUUAGGAACAAUGGUGGAGGCUAUCCCUUUUCAUCCAAAAAUAAAUCAAAAUCGAAUUUCCUUUGUGCCAUGGGCACGCCUUAUCAAAUUUUAGUUUUGUCAUUUUUUUUAAACAUACACCCAGGACCAAACCGACCAGAACCAACCCGAACUAUCCAAACCACCCUCCACAAAAUUAAACAUACACAAGGAGUACACUUGACCCUUCUCUUUCUUAUUUAUUCUUUUAUUAUUGCACAUUGAAGGUAAUAUGGGCUAAGUGGGGGGAUUCAUAAGACAUGCCAUGUCAUUUCUUGUUCUUCUUUGCAUGUGUUAAUUCUUAUACUGAAAUUACUCCUAAUUUGUUUCUAAAUUGAACCUUCAAUUCCUAUGCUUAGUUAAUUCAAAUAAUUUGGGUAAUUCAUGAAUAACUGCUUAUUGCUUAAAUUUGAUCGACAUGUGUUUUGUAGAAUUGAAAAUAUUAUAGCUAAAUCAAACAUUUCAUAAAGAUUGUUGGCUCUUUAAACUUGCUUAAUAAAACUACUCAAUCUCAUUUAAGUAUAAAAAAAGGGGGGAAAAGGGGGUGGGAAUCUGUUAAUGGCUUAGUUAUAAGUGAAGAUUUUGGAAAUGUGACCAAAUUGAGUAACCGAGAUGAAUUUGGGUUGUCAUCUCAUUUCGCGUAAAAAGAUUUGAGUGAUGAACCAAAACUUUUAACACUCCGCUAAUCGUGCUGCCUUGAGAAAGGAGAAAUAAACUGAUUGGGGACAUGUCAAAUUGAGUAACCGAGGUGAGGUGUUUAGGUUGUUGUCUUGUUUUGCAUAAAAAUAUUUGACUAUGCCUCAAACUUGUGGAAAAAUCAUUAAGUACGAUUGUCUCGCAAGUUUGAUGAAGCCUAAAUUUAGUGAAGUAGUUGAAUUUUGCAUAAUGUUAGAAAUUGUAUAAAAUGUUUUUUGGUUGAACCUAGCAAUUACUUAUUUUUUAUUCACCUAAUUGUUUGCAUUACACUUGGUUGAGGAAGGAGGUUUGAUUUCGAAAAAAAUUAUCGAAUGAUUUCUAGUAUAGGAAUACACAUCAUGCUUAAGGACAAGCAUCGGCUAAGUAGAAGAAUUUGAUAACAAACUGAACUUGUAUGUUUAACCCACCCAAUUUCGGUAAUUUUUGCUACUGAGUUUGUAGUUUUUGGUUAAUUUUAGCAGGUACGCAGUUGGAGUAUUAAAAUUUGAGUUAACAAGCAAAUCAGGCUAAAUUGGAGCACAAGCAAUAAAAAGGGGCCGAAUUGAAAAUUUUUUAAAAAUUUAUGAUUGAUCAAAUUUUCUAUUUGACUUUGUGAAAACUAUAUUUAGAAAAAAAAUCUGAUAUAAAAUCUGAUUUUAUGUGGUUGAUUGUUAGAUGAAUUAGACUAAAAUUAGCAUAUGGAAUGUAUAUAAAUACCUUGUGUGGUGGCUUUAGAAAAUAGACUAAAAAUUGAAUAAAAACCAUUUAUUUCUUUUUUAUUUCACGCGUCUUUUAGCAGUACAAGCAUCCUGCCAUUCUUUUUCCGUUUCUUUACUUUGGUUCAAUUGCCUUUAAGUUCCCUCAUUCCUCUACCUAUCACCAUUACACUUAAACCCAUUCUAAUAUUCCAUCAAGCAUGAUUAGUCUCAUGCUCAACUAAAUUCCAUUUAGUUUUAGCUCGGUUAUUAUUUCGACAAAAAAAUCGUGAGACAUGAACUCAUACUAAAAAACCUUUCAACACGAUAUUCAUUAUCUCUCUGGUAUAUGGGAUAGUUACAAUCGUCCAUUAAAGUUGAUUUAAUUUCAGCUCAAAGUGCACGUUGGGUGGGAGCUAUAUUGGCAUACAGUUGGGAAACCGGGUCGGUUGUCUACCGUAUUCGAGUUUCCAAGAACAAAUUAGCAUGUUCAAUUGGAAAAAGCUAGUUGGAUUCCGUCAAGGGAGAUAAUGAUCGAAUUUAAAUGACCCACGUGGUUGAGGCCGUGAAUUCAAGUUGGGUUUUUCUAGAUCGCAAGGCUGUCAAGAUCUUAAAUUGCGGAUGCAUGUUACGUGGUUAGAUAAUCGGAAAGAGUUGGUUUGCAGGUUGUACCGGAACCAACUACAGAAGGAAAAGUUGGCGGUUGUGGCGUUUUUUAUCGUUAUAAUCAACUUAUCGUUUGGAAAGGAAAAUCUACUUUCAAAUAUCAAUUCGAUUUCGGAGUGUACCAAGACUGAAGCUAGGCAUAAAUAUAUUUGAUUCACAGAUUUGAUUUAAUUUCCUUAAUUUAAUUUUGCAAUCAUAAUUCUAUUUUUAUUUUAUUUUUGUUUAUUUUAUUUUCUUUAUCAACUAAAUUCCCCCUUUUAUUUAUUUUACAGCUCUGCAUGCACAGGUCGUGGGCACGACAGCUGCCUAGACUUAGAAAUCUGGUCACAUAAACAAGAAAAUUAGGAAUCUUAAUCCCUGUGGGAUCGACUCUACUACUCUAUACUACUAUUUAAUAAAGUUAGAACAUAGGAAAUUAUAUUUGGUGGUUUCGAAGCCUACCAACCCUA
This 5735-nucleotide long non-coding RNA is filed under the name Gossypium raimondii (Peruvian cotton). RNAcentral's name for it is "long non-coding RNA (GRAI_LNC000284)". The record is from RNAcentral. Lineage: Eukaryota; Viridiplantae; Streptophyta; Magnoliopsida; Malvales; Malvaceae.